RNAcentral lists this ribosomal RNA (253 nucleotides) under uncultured bacterium. Its description in RNAcentral is "partial 16S ribosomal RNA". It matches the Rfam family "Bacterial small subunit ribosomal RNA", at positions 524 to 776 of the family's 1533-position model. The record is from RNAcentral.
UACGUAGGGUGCAAGCGUUGUCCGGAAUUAUUGGGCGUAAAGAGCUCGUAGGCGGUUUGUCGCGUCUGCUGUGAAAACUCGGGGCUUAACCCCGGGCCUGCAGUGGGUACGGGCAGACUAGAGUGCGGUAGGGGAGACUGGAAUUCCUGGUGUAGCGGUGAAAUGCGCAGAUAUCAGGAGGAACACCGGUGGCGAAGGCGGGUCUCUGGGCCGACACUGACGCUGAGGAGCGAAAGCGUGGGGAGCGAACAGG